Molecule: ribosomal RNA, 531 nt
Filed under: uncultured bacterium
Lineage: Bacteria
Description: partial 16S ribosomal RNA
Rfam family: Bacterial small subunit ribosomal RNA
Source: RNAcentral
UGGGGAAUAUUGCACAAUGGGCGCAAGCCUGAUGCAGCAACGCCGCGUGGGGGAUGAAGGCCUUCGGGUUGUAAACCCCUUUUAGCAGGGAAGAAGCGAAAGUGACGGUACCUGCAGAAAAAGCGCCGGCUAACUACGUGCCAGCAGCCGCGGUAAUACGUAGGGCGCAAGCGUUGUCCGGAAUUAUUGGGCGUAAAGAGCUCGUAGGCGGUUUGUCGCGUCUGCUGUGAAAGUCCGAGGCUCAACCUCGGAUCUACAGUGGGUACGGGCAGACUAGAGUGUGGUAGGGGAGACUGGAAUUCCUGGUGUAGCGGUGGAAUGCGCAGAUAUCAGGAGGAACACCAAUGGCGAAGGCAGGUCUCCGGGCCAUAACUGACGCUGAGGAGCGAAAGCGUGGGGAGCGAACAGGAUUAGAUACCCUGGUAGUCCACGCCGUAAAACGGUGGGCACUAGAUGUGGGGCUCUUUCCAUGAGUUCCGCGUCGCAGCUAACGCAUUAAGUGCCCCGCCUGGGGAGUACGGCCGCAAGGCU